CUACCUUAGAAGGUCAUGUAGUAUCUUAGUAAAAAAGCAACCUGUUCUGGUGCAUGGCUCGCCAGUUAUUGCUGUGCUUUACAGGUGUUAGCAAAAACAGUCUAGAUCUUUCCAUCCCUGCCUCUGAUAUUAGGAGGCUAGGUUAGGCCCAUGCCACCAAGCUCCUCAGCAAACUGCUUUCUGGCCACUCUAGCUCCUAAACUCAGGGCUAAGCUGCUGUUCAGGAAAGAUCUAAGAAAUUUAUUGAAGAUAUUUCCAUAAGAGG
Long non-coding RNA from Pipistrellus kuhlii (Kuhl's pipistrelle), 265 nucleotides. RefSeq lists it as uncharacterized. The transcript is spliced from 2 exons. Lineage: Eukaryota; Metazoa; Chordata; Mammalia; Chiroptera; Vespertilionidae. The record is from RefSeq and is a predicted model, not a curated record.